Long non-coding RNA from Canis lupus familiaris (dog), 524 nucleotides. RefSeq lists it as uncharacterized. NCBI's taxonomy places the organism in Eukaryota, Metazoa, Chordata, Mammalia, Carnivora, Canidae. The transcript has 3 exons. The record is from RefSeq and is a predicted model, not a curated record.
GACUAGAAGUAGGAAGACUGGACAUCCUUAACUUGCUCCCAAUCUUAAAUGGAAAACAUUUCACUUCAUCAUAAGGCUCUAUCCUCUUUACCUCACCUCUUUUGUCUUUCCAAGCACAUAUAAUUAGAUCUCCUGGAAUCUAUAUACACCAGCAUCCUUUUUAAUACCCACUACUGUUCGAAGACUCUGCUGGCAGCCCUACCUACCUCAUCAAAUAGGCCUCAUACCUAUAAUAGUAGCAGAGGGCUGAGGUAGUUCUAGCUCUGUCCUUUGUUUGGAUGACCCGGCAGCCUAUUUGGUGGUCAGCCUUCGUAGCCAGGUACUCUCACUGAAUAGAAGGAGCAAACAGAUCUUCUGAAAAGAGGUUCUGUAUCAUAUGCUGUUUAAAAAGGCCUAUAAGGGGGCAACCCCGGUGGCGCAGCGGUUUGGCGCCACCUGCAGCCCAGGGCGUGAUCCUGGAGACCCUGGAUGGAGUCCCAUGUCGGGCUCUCUGUAUGAUGCCUGCUUCUCCCUCUGCCUCUGUC